UUGGCUCAGGAUGAACGCUGGCGGCGUGCCUAAUACAUGCAAGUCGAACGAAGUUACUUCGGUAACUUAGUGGCGAACGGGUGGGUAACACAUGAACAACCUACCCUGACGACAGGGAUAACAGUUUGAAAAGACUGCUAAUACCGGAUAGGUGUAACGGGGACAUCCCUGAUACAUUAAAGUUGGGAUACAACGCGACAGGAUGGGUUCAUGUCGCAUUAGCUAGUUGGCGGGGUAACGGCCCACCAAGGCGAUGAUGCGUAGCCGAUCUGAGAGGAUGAACGGCCACAUUGGGACUGAGACACGGCCCAGACUCCUACGGGAGGCAGCAGUGGGGAAUA
This 341-nucleotide ribosomal RNA is filed under the name uncultured rumen bacterium. RNAcentral describes it as "bacterial SSU rRNA". It matches the Rfam family "Bacterial small subunit ribosomal RNA", at positions 19 to 363 of the family's 1533-position model. The record is from RNAcentral.